AUGGACGUGUGUAAAAGACAGUCGUUGCCACUGAAGUUUCCAAUCUGGAGAAAGGGGCAGGAAAGAUGGCUGUCUUCAAAGAUAGUUAAAGACCUGAAUAGUUCUGAAGUUUUCCUUCCAGGCACUUGUUUAUGGUGCUUGCCACAAUCUCCUUUUCUCUUUAAAAAUGAUUCAGAGAACACAGAGCUCCUGAAGAAUGAAACAAAGGCAUGAAUAAUAAAGAGCCAAUUGGCA
RNAcentral lists this long non-coding RNA (234 nucleotides) under Rattus norvegicus (Norway rat). RNAcentral's name for it is "long non-coding RNA NONRATT031548". Lineage: Eukaryota; Metazoa; Chordata; Mammalia; Rodentia; Muridae. The record is from RNAcentral.